This 208-nucleotide long non-coding RNA is filed under the name Elaeis guineensis (African oil palm). RNAcentral's name for it is "long non-coding RNA (EGUI_LNC021201)". Lineage: Eukaryota; Viridiplantae; Streptophyta; Magnoliopsida; Arecales; Arecaceae. The record is from RNAcentral.
UGCGAGGUGGAGUUUCAGGAGGCAGGAGAAAUCCAGAGCGAGGUGGAGCUCCAGGUGGAGGUGGAUCAGGCACUAGAUGGGAGACUCAGGAGGAUGAGAGGCGAUGUCGCAGGAUAAGAUUUCUAUUGUCGCAAGAGACUUUCCCAAGCAGAUCUUUGGUUAGAGUGACACAGUCCAUGAUGGAGAUGGGAUCGAGUGGCCUGGCUCC